Molecule: ribosomal RNA, 469 nt
Filed under: uncultured bacterium
Lineage: Bacteria
Description: partial 16S ribosomal RNA
Rfam family: Bacterial small subunit ribosomal RNA
Source: RNAcentral
GACGAACGCUGGCGGCGUGCUUAACACAUGCAAGUCGAACGGUGAAGCGAGUGCUUGCACUCGUGGAUCAGUGGCGAACGGGUGAGUAACACGUGAGUAACCUGCCCAUCACUCUGGGAUAAGCACUGGAAACGGUGUCUAAUACUGGAUACGACCAACCCUUGCAUGGGGUGUUGGUGGAAAGAUUUAUCGGUGAUGGAUGGACUCGCGGCCUAUCAGCUUGUUGGCGGGGUAAUGGCCCACCAAGGCGACGACGGGUAGCCGGCCUGAGAGGGUGACCGGCCACACUGGGACCGAGACACGGCCCAGACUCCUACGGGAGGCAGCAGUGGGGAAUAUUGCACAAUGGGCGAAAGCCUGAUGCAGCGACGCCGCGUGAGGGAUGACGGCCUUCGGGUUGUAAACCUCUUUCAGCAGGGAAGAAGCGAAAGUGACGGUACCUGCAGAAGAAGCACCGGCUAACUACGUG